AUACGGAGGGUGCGAGCGUUAAUCGGAAUUACUGGGCGUAAAGCGUACGUAGGCGGUUGGUUAAGUUAGAUGUGAAAGCCCCGGGCUUAACCUGGGAACUGCAUUUAAAACUGGCGAACUAGAGUUGAGUAGAGGGGAGUGGAAUUUCAGGUGUAGCGGUGAAAUGCGUAGAGAUCUGAUGGAACACCAGUGGCGAAGGCGACUCCCUGGACUCGAACUGACGCUGAGGUACGAAAGCGUGGGUAGCAAACGGGAUUAGAAACCCUAGUAGUCC
Molecule: ribosomal RNA, 274 nt
Filed under: uncultured bacterium
Lineage: Bacteria
Description: partial 16S ribosomal RNA
Rfam family: Bacterial small subunit ribosomal RNA
Source: RNAcentral